RNAcentral lists this transfer RNA (74 nucleotides) under Talaromyces marneffei ATCC 18224. RNAcentral describes it as "tRNA-Tyr (GTA) (tRNA-Tyr-GTA-1-1)". It matches the Rfam family "tRNA". From Rfam's summary of the family: Transfer RNA (tRNA) molecules are approximately 80 nucleotides in length. Their secondary structure includes four short double-helical elements and three loops (D, anti-codon, and T loops). Lineage: Eukaryota; Fungi; Ascomycota; Eurotiomycetes; Eurotiales; Trichocomaceae. The record is from RNAcentral.
CCCUUGAUGGUCUAGUUGGUUAUGGCGUCCGACUGUAAAUCGGAAAGUCGCCGGAUCGACUCCGGCUCGAGGGA